Molecule: small nuclear RNA, 106 nt
Organism: Python bivittatus (Burmese python)
Lineage: Eukaryota; Metazoa; Chordata; Lepidosauria; Squamata; Pythonidae
Source: RefSeq, a predicted model, not a curated record
GUACUUGCUUUGACUGCACAUAUACUGACAUUGAAACAAUACAGAAAGUUUAUCAUGGCCCCUGUGCAAGAAUGAUACAUGCAUUCAUGAAGCAUUCAAUUAUUGA